CCCCCAGAAUCCCCGCGGAUUCGGUACACUAAUCUUUCUAUAACUUUUUGCGGAAGAUAUAAAUAUAAGUUGUUUAUACAUUAAACUUUACACAUAUUUCCCCAAAAUCGAGUAACCUUAACUUUUACACAAUUCAUAGGCUAUCUAACAGAUAACAUAUUAUUCAACUAUACUAUUACAAACUAGCCGCACAUUUUAUCCCAAGCUGAACUUGGCAUUAACCUUUUCCUGUAACCGAACGCAUUCGCCUUAUCUGCAAUGUUUAUCAUGAUAUAGCAAGGGUGAGCAUGAAAGUUGCCCAGCAAGUUUAAAUACAAUUCAAGGAUAUAUCAUGAUUAAAGAGUAUGAAUAAUAAGCUGGCUAUAAUUCAUCAAUAUAAUUGAGAACUAGCACGAACAAACUUUUGACUGAACAAGUUUUAAACAUGAACAAACAUUUCUGGACCAACCGGUAAUGAAGGUGAUCUGCCUUUCAUACCUGACUUAUACAUGCAAGAUGUACAGAGUACAAUUUUCAUGACAAUCAGCAAUGAUUAACCAUAAGCUUGAAUAAAACACUCUUAUUAGAGUUAAGUAAGAACAAACUUGCCUGAUUCGUUGACUACUGCUUACGCAAUUUAUGUUAACUUCUUUUGUAAGACCUAUCAUUAAUAAGAUCGAUCCUCCAAUCAGCAUAUCAUACAUUGUAUCAUAAUACAAUUACUUAAUCCAUAAAUUAUCUAACACUUAAACAAAUAUUAGAUAACAUCUUAACGCAUCAGUAUUAUUAUCAUCAUUUGAUCUUCGAUCACUAUAUCAUAUUAUAAUUUAUCACUCACUUUUUCAUUUCAUAAGCUAUUCUUUAACAUCGAAUAAGUUAAAUACUAAUCCAGCAACCUGGAUUCUAAAUCUAGCAACCAAAUUUCCUAUCCAGUCGACUGGAUUCCAAAUCCAGCGACCUGGAUCCAACAUAUAACCAAUCCAACAACUUAAACUGCAAUCCAGCUAACUAGCUUACAAUCCAGCAAACUGUAUUCACCAAAUUUUUCCAAUCCAGCAAGCUAGAUUUCAUUGAAAAUACCAAACCAGUUUAUUAUUUUUCUAUCCUUUGUCCAAACACAUAUACAUAUAUUUUAUACACAAAAAUUAUUUUUCCAUAAUUUUCUAAUUUUGUUUGGUAUUUUUCAAAAAUUAAUUUUAGUGCGUAGCUUAAGAAAUUAGCUACCUCGUGCUUAACUCCAAACAUUCCCAUCUCUUGGCAUAACCUUAUAUAUGUUAACGUGACACUCCAGUUUAAAUUUCGUGGCAAUCGGAGUUGUAGAACUCCGUUUAUAGCGAUUUCCGUCGGAAAAUCACAAAAAUUGUAAUGGUCAUAACUUGGUCGUUUUAAGCCGGAAUUAGCUCAUUUUUGGACACAAGGUGCUUAAUACCAUAUAUUUUCAUGUCCCUAAAGACAGGAAUUUAUUUCACACUUUAAGUUGCCAAAACAGCCCUCGAAAAAAUCUGGGCAGCAACUUUUUGUCUUUUAGCAGUUUUGGAAUCCUUUACUAAAUCUUAAAUAAAAUGAGAUCUAUAACUCUGAUUAACGAUCCGUCAAUUUUUUUGGAUUCGUAUCUUUCCGAUCUACAAUUUUCAUCCAUCACAAUCCAUAUUUGGACAUGUUAAGCUCCCGGAAAUUAUCCCGGAAGUGGCUGCUCAAAACUGUCAUUCUAACAAUUUUCCUAUCUUUGAGUAGUUUGGGAUAAAUUACAUAACUUGCUCAUUAUUCAACCUAAUUGAGUGAUUCAAAAGGGGUUUUAUCCUUCACACAUAGAUCUAGCAUCCCAAGAACAUAGAUCACAAAUAUCCAUCAUAUAUUUCAAAAAACUCAAAACCUAGCUCACACUUUAAAAGUUCAAACUUUUCCGGAAAAAUUCCAUUUUUGUCUUCCUUUGAUUCCAACCAAAUUAACACCCAAUAUGGGUAGAUCCAAACAAUAAACACUCAUUAACAUGUAUAUACAUAGUUUUUGAGUUUAGAAACAAAUUUUCUUAUUUCAUCAAACAAGCAUCAACCACAAGAUUAAAUAAUAUCAAGACUAAGAAAAUUAGGAUUUUCUACACUUUGAAAACCUAGCUUCACUUUUAUUGCUUUUGAUCUAACUUCUAACACACAAGAUGGAUAGAUCCACACAUAAAACACUGUAAAUCAUGUAGAUCUAAGAUUUUUGAGUUUUGAAACCUUAGAACUUUAUUCCAUCAACAUAACUUAAAUCAAAGGAUAACUUAGGUUUGAUUUUAUACCUUUGAUUUCAUGCUAGUCUUUCUUCUUCUUCAUAGCUUGAUUAUGUAGCUUUGAUGUCUCACUAAAAACUCCCCUUUCUCUCCUCUAGUGGCUGCCGAACUCUAGGCUCUCUCUCUCUCUCCCUCUCUCUCUCUCUUUUGUUCUUGAAGAAUACCAAAAAGAAAGAUGAAAGAGAAAAAGUAAGAUAGAGUUUCAUUAGAUAUGGAUACAUCAAUUCUCCCUUUUCUCUCCU
RNAcentral lists this long non-coding RNA (2493 nucleotides) under Panax ginseng (ginseng). RNAcentral describes it as "long non-coding RNA (PGIN_LNC003900)". The record is from RNAcentral. Lineage: Eukaryota; Viridiplantae; Streptophyta; Magnoliopsida; Apiales; Araliaceae.